ACUGUAUACUGUUAGAGCUUGGAGUUGAGACCACUGGUGGCCAAUGAACUCACAAGUAUAUGUGAGGGGCAAGUUUUUCGCUAACACCAUAAGGGUCUCUAGCCCAAUGAGUGCAAUUUGAUAGUAAUCCUUGCUACAAGU
Eptesicus fuscus (big brown bat) is the source of this 141-nucleotide small nucleolar RNA. The record is from RefSeq and is a predicted model, not a curated record. Lineage: Eukaryota; Metazoa; Chordata; Mammalia; Chiroptera; Vespertilionidae.